UACGAAGGGGGCUAGCGUUGCUCGGAAUUACUGGGCGUAAAGGGCGCGUAGGCGGAUAGUUUAGUCAGAGGUAAAAGCCCAGGGCUCAACCUUGGAACUGCCUUUGAUACUGGCUAUCUUGAGUUCGGGAGAGGUGAGUGGAAUGCCGAGUGUAGAGGUGAAAUUCGUAGAUAUUCGGUGGAACACCAGUGGCGAAGGCGACUCACUGGCCCGAUACUGACGCUGAGGCGCGAAAGCUAGGGGAGCAAACGGG
Molecule: ribosomal RNA, 253 nt
Filed under: uncultured bacterium
Lineage: Bacteria
Description: partial 16S ribosomal RNA
Rfam family: Bacterial small subunit ribosomal RNA
Source: RNAcentral